Molecule: long non-coding RNA, 601 nt
Organism: Pan paniscus (pygmy chimpanzee)
Lineage: Eukaryota; Metazoa; Chordata; Mammalia; Primates; Hominidae
Source: Ensembl
GUUUUAUAUGAGAAAAUAAACUUACUGAUUACUUUUCAUUUGUUCCAUAUACCUAAUUACAUGCAGUGUUACUAGCAUCUGAAACAGCCUCUCCUUUAGAAGGCUGGAACACGGCCUGGAAUGGGCAUAACUCAUGGCAAGACUCAACAUUCUUCUUUGCAGUGGUUCUUUUUCCUUCCUCUCAAGAAGAUAAAUGGGCCCUUUUGGGAUUCUUGCCUGGCAGGAGUGGGCUGGUCUGAUGAGACUCAGGGAUUCAUGCUUAUGGAGGAAAGGACAUUGACAGAAAUGGAAAUGCCAUGGAUUUCUAGAGACAAGUGGAUGUGAUGUUGGGAUGGCUCUAACGAGGAAGCAAAAAUGAUAAAGCAGAAUGUUCAAGGCACUAAGAGCCAGAAAAGGUCCUGAACCUCAUUGCCUUGCUGCUGGAUACUGUAUCUCUUCCUGUGCCUGCCCAACUCUAAUGGAGCCGCCACGGCAGAGUUGUAGAACUCUCACUUCCAUUUCUUUCCAUUCUUCAUGUAUCCUCCUUCUCCAAGGUGGCUGCCUUGAGGUAGGGCCCUUUGUAGAACGCAUAAUCUUGAUCUUCUUCUUCACAGUGCUGCUA